CCGGCGACCGGCGCACGGGUGAGUAACACGUAUGAAACCUGCCCGUAGCAGGGGGAUAAGCGGAAGAAAUUCCGCCUAAUACCGCGUAACAACCCAUGGAGGCAUCUCUGUGGGUUUAAAGGAAGCGAUUCCGGCUACGGAUGGUCAUGCGUCGCAUUAGCUUGUUGGCGGGGUAACGGCCCACCAAGGCGACGAUGCGUAGGGGUUCUGAGAGGAAGGUCCCCCACACUGGUACUGAGACACGGACCAGACUCCUACGGGAGGCAGCAG
RNAcentral lists this ribosomal RNA (270 nucleotides) under uncultured bacterium. Its description in RNAcentral is "partial 16S ribosomal RNA". It matches the Rfam family "Bacterial small subunit ribosomal RNA", at positions 88 to 354 of the family's 1533-position model. The record is from RNAcentral.